This 25-nucleotide transfer RNA is filed under the name Drosophila ambigua. Its description in RNAcentral is "partial tRNA-Phe". The record is from RNAcentral. Lineage: Eukaryota; Metazoa; Arthropoda; Insecta; Diptera; Drosophilidae.
AACUCUAAAGAUAAGCUAUUUGAAU